GUGCGGUAGGAUCAUUA
RNAcentral lists this ribosomal RNA (17 nucleotides) under Boletus sp. SOC 538. Its description in RNAcentral is "partial 18S ribosomal RNA". RNAcentral also lists the same sequence under 1 other name. Lineage: Eukaryota; Fungi; Basidiomycota; Agaricomycetes; Boletales; Boletaceae. The record is from RNAcentral.